UUCCACGGCAAUCUUGAACUG
Molecule: microRNA, 21 nt
Filed under: Corchorus capsularis
Lineage: Eukaryota; Viridiplantae; Streptophyta; Magnoliopsida; Malvales; Malvaceae
Description: sRNA CCACVL1_28327
Source: RNAcentral